ACAAGCACGCAAAAAUUGGAUAUUUUACUACGGUGGUAUUACAAAGUAAUGGACUAAAUAUUUUAAAAGUACGUAACUAAGAGUGGAGGAUGAAAAAAAGACAUUACUUUUGUGUCACAAUCUCACUAUACCAACCAAAUUACAUUAUUUUUGAUGUUGACCUCAAGAAAAUUUCUCGUUCCGUCCAUUUAUCCCCACGCCUACUAGA
Arabidopsis thaliana (thale cress) is the source of this 208-nucleotide long non-coding RNA. RefSeq annotates it as other RNA. NCBI's taxonomy places the organism in Eukaryota, Viridiplantae, Streptophyta, Magnoliopsida, Brassicales, Brassicaceae. The transcript has a single exon. The record is from RefSeq.